This is a small nuclear RNA of Manis pentadactyla (Chinese pangolin), 106 nucleotides long. Lineage: Eukaryota; Metazoa; Chordata; Mammalia; Pholidota; Manidae. The record is from RefSeq and is a predicted model, not a curated record.
GUGCUCUCUUCAGCAGCACAUAUACUAAAAUUGGAAUGAUACAGAGAAGAUUAGCAUGGCCCUGUGCAAUGAUGACACACAAAUUCAUAAAGCAUUCCACAUUUUU